CUCCUACGGGAGGCAGCAGUGGGGAAUUUUGGACAAUGGGCGCAAGCCUGAUCCAGCAAUGCCGCGUGCAGGAAGAAGGCCUUCGGGUUGUAAACUGCUUUUGUCAGGGAAGAAAUCUUCUGGGCUAAUACCCCGGGAGGAUGACGGUACCUGAAGAAUAAGCMCCGGCUAACUACGUGCCAGCAGCCGCGGUAAUACGUAGGGUGCGAGCGUUAAUCGGAAUUACUGGGCGUAAAGCGUGCGCAGGCGGUUAUGUAAGACAGAUGUGAAAUCCCCAGGCUCAACCUGGGAACUGCAUUUGUGACUGCAUGACUGGAGUGCGGCAGAGGGGGAUGGAAUUCCGCGUGUAGCAGUGAAAUGCGUAGAUAUGCGGAGGAACACCGAUGGCGAAGGCAAUCCCCUGGGCCUGCACUGACGCUCAUGCACGAAAGCGUGGGGAGCAAACAGGAUUAGAUACCCUGGUAGUCCACGCCCUAAACGAUGUCAACUGGUUGUUGGGUGCAUUAGUACUCAGUAACGAAGCUAACGCGUGAAGUUGACCGCCUGGGGAGUACGGCCGCAAGGUUGAAACUCAAAUGAAUUGACGA
Molecule: ribosomal RNA, 587 nt
Filed under: uncultured Azohydromonas sp.
Lineage: Bacteria; Pseudomonadati; Pseudomonadota; Betaproteobacteria; Burkholderiales; Sphaerotilaceae
Description: bacterial SSU rRNA
Rfam family: Bacterial small subunit ribosomal RNA
Source: RNAcentral